Molecule: unclassified non-coding RNA, 400 nt
Filed under: uncultured Terriglobia bacterium
Lineage: Bacteria; Pseudomonadati; Acidobacteriota; Terriglobia
Description: uncultured Acidobacteriia bacterium contains 16S-23S intergenic spacer region
Rfam family: Bacterial small subunit ribosomal RNA
Source: RNAcentral
UCCGGUUUGUCACCGGCAGUCUCCUUAGAUACCCUGGUAGUCCUAGCCCUAAACCAUCAGGACUUGGGGUGGCCCGCGUAGGCGGGUCGUCCCGUAGCUAACGCGUUAAGUCCUGCGCCUGGGGAGUACGGUCGCAAGACUGAAACUCAAAGGAAUUGACGGGGGCCCGCACAAGCGGUGGAACAUGUGGUUCAAUUCGACGCAACGCGAAGAACCUUACCUGGGCUUGAACCGCUACUGACCAACGGUAGAAAUAUCGUCUUCCCGCAAGGGACAGUAGUAGAGGUGCUGCAUGGCUGUCGUCAGCUCGUGCCGUGAGGUGUUGGGUUAAGUCCCGCAACGAGCGCAACCCUUAUUCGUAGUUGCCACCCGCAAGGGGGAACUCUACGAGGACUGCUCC